Oncorhynchus tshawytscha (Chinook salmon) is the source of this 1750-nucleotide long non-coding RNA. The record is from Ensembl. Lineage: Eukaryota; Metazoa; Chordata; Actinopteri; Salmoniformes; Salmonidae.
AAUACAGAUCGCCCCGUGAUCAAUUUGAUAGAUUAUUAACGUUUAUUAAUACCUAAAGUUGGUUUAGAAAAGUAGUUUGAAGUGAUUUGUAAAAGUAUAUAGGCAACUUUUGUAAUUUUAAAAAGUGACGUUGCGUCUUGUAAAGGGGCAUUUUUCUGGAUCAGACCGGUCUUCAGCAAAUCACAUUUUGGGUAUACAAUGAUGGAUUUAAUCGGGAAAAAGACCCAAUUGUGAUGUUUAUGUGACAUAUAGGAGUGCCAAGAAAGAAGCUCGUCAAAGGCCCUCCAUUCCCAAACCUGAAGCCAACUGUUCCCAGCAGGAAAGACCAGGAAAAGGUGUUUAAGUUACAACUUCCUAUUGAAGAAAUGUAAGACAACUCAAUGUCAUAUUUACUGACAUGAAAAGGAGCAUAUACACGCAAUCUAUCAAAUGUAUUUUAUAAAGCCCCGUUUACAUCAGUAGUUGUCACAAAGUGCUUAAGCAGAUACCCAGGUUAAAACCCCAAAGAGCAAGCAAGCAGACGUAGAAGCACAGUGGCUAUGAAAAACUCCCUAGAAAGGCAGGAACCUAGGAAGAAACCUAGAGAGGAACCAGGCUCUGAGGGGUGGCCAGUCCUCUUCUGUCUGUGCUUGUGGAGAUUAUAAAAGAGUACAGCCAUUUAGGCCAGAUUAUUCUUAAAGCUGUUUCAGCGUUCACAGAUGACCAGCAGUGUUAAAUAAUAGAGAGUGCAAUAGUUCAGCACCUCAGGUGUAAAUGCCAGUUGGCUCUUCAUAGCUGAGCAUUUAGAGGUUGAGGCAGUAGGUCCAGUAGAGAGAGGCAGGAUCAAACAGCGGGUCUAGGACAAGGUAGUACCUCCGGUGAGCCUUGAGCAGGUCAGGGUUCCAUAGCUGCAGACAUAAACAGCAGAGACUGGAUCAGCAGCACGACCAGGUGGACUGGAGACGGGGAAAGCCAGGAGUCGUCAGGCCAGAAGGUCACACACGCAUAUCACAUUGCAAGGGUUAGUGUGUAGUCAAGGCUUUGCCAACCUGCUCGGUGGGUGACGGGUGACCGUCUUUCCACCAAGCUGUUCCAGGCCUGGAGUGGCACGCUGGAACUUCCAAAGGCUUGUAGACCUGAAGCAGUGUGAUGUGGUCCAGAUCUGCCACGCCCAGCAGUUCAGCUGCAGUCACAGCAGUCUUCUGCUGUGGUAGUUAAUUUACCAGCUGCACCAAUGCCUUCUACACUGGCCGUGAAAGGAGAAACUUAUGGGUAUUCCCAGAUGGAUACAGAUCUGCCAUGCACUCCACCACUGCCUGACAGCCUCACCCAGAAGUGCAUACACUGGGCCUAUCAGAGAUGGGUGUCUGACAAGGAAAAAUAAAACAUGCACACACACACACACAUCCACAAUGUAAAUAAGUUGUAAUUACUUGUUUAAUGUUUGCUCCAUUUUAUUGUAGGAUUGGAGAUAUCUACUCCCUCAUAGACAUGCUCAAUAUCUACAUAAUUACUCAAACUAUCUAUCAAAUCAAAGUGUGAUUGAUAAUAUUGUAAAAGACUUGCUUAAUAUGUAGUUUUAGGACAUUUUGUGUGCUUUUUUUCUGAGUUGAAAAACAUGCCUCAUACACACAUUAGACCCAAUGUAAAUCAGUUGUAAUAACUUGUUUAUUUUAAUGUAUGGUGAAUUUUAUUUGAGGAAAAUAUCUGCAAUAAAGUACAUUCACAGUUAAAGCAAUGUCCUAUUUCUCAGAAUACAAUGUGUGGCCAG